UGGCAGGUACAGCGGGAAGCCAUAUGGCGACAUAGAGCGGAACCCGAAAACCUGUCUCAGUUCGGAUUGGAGUCUGCAACCCGACUCCAUGAAGCUGGAUUCGCUAGUAAUCGCGCAUCAGCCACGGCGCGGUGAAUACGUUCCCGGGCCUUGUACACACCGCCCGUCAAGCCAUGGGAGCCGGGGGUACCUGAAGUGCGUGACCGCAAGGAGCGCCCUAAGGUAAAACCGGUGACUGGGGCUAAGUCGUAACAAGGUAAC
Molecule: ribosomal RNA, 261 nt
Filed under: uncultured bacterium
Lineage: Bacteria
Description: partial 16S ribosomal RNA
Rfam family: Bacterial small subunit ribosomal RNA
Source: RNAcentral